Molecule: ribosomal RNA, 1129 nt
Filed under: Salmonella enterica
Lineage: Bacteria; Pseudomonadati; Pseudomonadota; Gammaproteobacteria; Enterobacterales; Enterobacteriaceae
Also listed under: 1 other name
Description: bacterial SSU rRNA
Rfam family: Bacterial small subunit ribosomal RNA
Source: RNAcentral
AAAUUGAAGAGUUUGAUCAUGGCUCAGAUUGAACGCUGGCGGCAGGCCUAACACAUGCAAGUCGAACGGUAGCACAGAGAGCUUGCUCUCGGGUGACGAGUGGCGGACGGGUGAGUAAUGUCUGGGAAACUGCCCGAUGGAGGGGGAUAACUACUGGAAACGGUAGCUAAUACCGCAUAACGUCGCAAGACCAAAGUGGGGGACCUUCGGGCCUCACACCAUCGGAUGUGCCCAGAUGGGAUUAGCUAGUAGGUGGGGUAACGGCUCACCUAGGCGACGAUCCCUAGCUGGUCUGAGAGGAUGACCAGCCACACUGGAACUGAGACACGGUCCAGACUCCUACGGGAGGCAGCAGUGGGGAAUAUUGCACAAUGGGCGCAAGCCUGAUGCAGCCAUGCCGCGUGUAUGAAGAAGGCCUUCGGGUUGUAAAGUACUUUCAGCGAGGAGGAAGGCGUUGUGGUUAAUAACCACAGCGAUUGACGUUACUCGCAGAAGAAGCACCGGCUAACUCCGUGCCAGCAGCCGCGGUAAUACGGAGGGUGCAAGCGUUAAUCGGAAUUACUGGGCGUAAAGCGCACGCAGGCGGUUUGUUAAGUCAGAUGUGAAAUCCCCGGGCUCAACCUGGGAACUGCAUUUGAAACUGGCAAGCUUGAGUCUCGUAGAGGGGGGUAGAAUUCCAGGUGUAGCGGUGAAAUGCGUAGAGAUCUGGAGGAAUACCGGUGGCGAAGGCGGCCCCCUGGACAAAGACUGACGCUCAGGUGCGAAAGCGUGGGGAGCAAACAGGAUUAGAUACCCUGGUAGUCCACGCCGUAAACGAUGUCUACUUGGAGGUUGUGCCCUUGAGGCGUGGCUUCCGGAGCUAACGCGUUAAGUAGACCGCCUGGGGAGUACGGCCGCAAGGUUAAAACUCAAAUGAAUUGACGGGGGCCCGCACAAGCGGUGGAGCAUGUGGUUUAAUUCGAUGCAACGCGAAGAACCUUACCUGGUCUUGACAUCCACGGAAGUUUUCAGAGAUGAGAAUGUGCCUUCGGGAACCGUGAGACAGGUGCUGCAUGGCUGUCGUCAGCUCGUGUUGUGAAAUGUUGGGUUAAGUCCCGCAACGAGCGCAACCCUUAUCCUUUGUUGCCAG